GACGAACGCUGGCGGCGUGCUUAACACAUGCAAGUCGAACGGAAAGGCCCUGCUUUUGUGGGGUGCUCGAGUGGCGAACGGGUGAGUAACACGUGAGUAACCUGCCCUUGACUUUGGGAUAACUUCAGGAAACUGGGGCUAAUACCGGAUAGGAGCUCCUGCUGCAUGGUGGGGGUUGGAAAGUUUCGGCGGUUGGGGAUGGACUCGCGGCUUAUCAGCUUGUUGGUGGGGUAGUGGCUUACCAAGGCUUUGACGGGUAGCCGGCCUGAGAGGGUGACCGGCCACAUUGGGACUGCGAUACGGCCCAGACUCCUACGGGAGGCAGCAGUGGGGAAUAUUGCACAAUGGGCGGAAGCCUGGUGCAGCAACGCCGCGUGCGGGAUGACGGCCUUCGGGUUGUAAACCGCUUUCGCCUGUGACGAAGCGUGAGUGACGGUAAUGGGUAAAGAAGCACCGGCUAACUAUGUG
RNAcentral lists this ribosomal RNA (468 nucleotides) under uncultured bacterium. RNAcentral's name for it is "partial 16S ribosomal RNA". It matches the Rfam family "Bacterial small subunit ribosomal RNA", at positions 28 to 507 of the family's 1533-position model. The record is from RNAcentral.